Molecule: ribosomal RNA, 1343 nt
Filed under: uncultured bacterium
Lineage: Bacteria
Description: 16S ribosomal RNA
Rfam family: Bacterial small subunit ribosomal RNA
Source: RNAcentral
GACGAACGCUGGCGGCGUGCUUAACACAUGCAAGUCGAACGGAAAGGCCCUGCUUUUGUGGGGUGCUCGAGUGGCGAACGGGUGAGUAACACGUGAGUAACCUGCCCUUGACUUUGGGAUAACUUCAGGAAACUGGGGCUAAUACCGGAUAGGAGCUCCUGCUGCAUGGUGGGGGUUGGAAAGUUUCGGCGGUUGGGGAUGGACUCGCGGCUUAUCAGCUUGUUGGUGGGGUAGUGGCUUACCAAGGCUUUGACGGGUAGCCGGCCUGAGAGGGUGACCGGCCACAUUGGGACUGAGAUACGGCCCAGACUCCUACGGGAGGCAGCAGUGGGGAAUAUUGCACAAUGGGCGGAAGCCUGAUGCAGCAACGCCGCGUGCGGGAUGACAGCCUUCGGGUUGUAAACCGCUUUCGCCUGUGACGAAGCGUGAGUGACGGUAAUGGGUAAAGAAGCACCGGCUAACUACGUGCCAGCAGCCGCGGUGAUACGUAGGGUGCGAGCGUUGUCCGGAUUUAUUGGGCGUAAAGGGCUCGUAGGUGGUUGAUCGCGUCGGAAGUGUAAUCUUGGGGCUUAACCCUGAGCGUGCUUUCGAUACGGGUUGACUUGAGGAAGGUAGGGGAGAAUGGAAUUCCUGGUGGAGCGGUGGAAUGCGCAGAUAUCAGGAGGAACACCAGUGGCGAAGGCGGUUCUCUGGGCCUUUCCUGACGCUGAGGAGCGAAAGCGUGGGGAGCGAACAGGCUUAGAUACCCUGGUAGUCCACGCUGUAAACGGUGGGUACUAGGUGUGGGGUCCAUUCCACGGGUUCCGUGCCGUAGCUAACGCUUUAAGUACCCCGCCUGGGGAGUACGGCCGCAAGGCUAAAACUCAAAGGAAUUGACGGGGCCCCGCACAAGCGGCGGAGCAUGCGGAUUAAUUCGAUGCAACGCGUAGAACCUUACCUGGGUUUGACAUGGAUCGGGAGUGCUCAGAGAUGGGUGUGCCUCUUUUGGGGUCGGUUCACAGGUGGUGCAUGGCUGUCGUCAGCUCGUGUCGUGAGAUGUUGGGUUAAGUCCCGCAACGAGCGCAACCCUUGUUCACUGUUGCCAGCACGUUAUGGUGGGGACUCAGUGGAGACCGCCGGGGUCAACUCGGAGGAAGGUGGGGAUGGCGUCAAGUCAUCAUGCCCCUUAUGUCCAGGGCUUCACGCAUGCUACAAUGGCUGGUACAGAGAGUGGCGAGCCUGUGAGGGUGAGCGAAUCUCGGAAAGCCGGUCUCAGUUCGGAUUGGGGUCUGCAACUCGACCUCAUGAAGUCGGAGUCGCUAGUAAUCGCAGAUCAGCAACGCUGCGGUGAAUACGUUCCCGGG